GCCCCCCAAAGAAACUGCACCCCCAUAACUCCCCCCCCACACACACACAAAGUUAAGGGCACCACACCUGCCUUCCCCAGAUGGGGCUCCCUGUGCGAACGCCUCCUCGUCCUCCAGGAUUUUCCAGCGCGGGCUCAAGCUCCUCCCUCGCCGGAGCGGGGCUGCUGUCCUCCAGCCAAGCGCCAGCCAGAGCAGCGGCUGGGGGGCGGCGGGGAGUGGGCCCCGCUCGCAGCCAUUGGCUGUGCGGGCCGCAGGGGCGGAGGGAGACCCGCGGUCCCGCCGACUCGGCGGCCCCGGCUUCACUCCAGCUGCGCCCGCCGCCCGCCCGUGCGCUCCGGCAGCUCACCGCACGCUGCGCCUGACUUCCCCGCGGACGGCUUCGCGGGCGCGGAUCGCAGAGACCCGGGGGCCUGCGAGGAGCUUGGCGCCGCCCUAGUCCCACCCGGGGUGCCGGAGCGCGGCCGGGGAGGUCGGAGCGUCCCGACCCGCAGGGCACGUCCUUCGAAUGCUGGGCACUGUGGGGAUGGAGAGCCAUCUGCCAGCCUCCGAACAUUCUGGGAAUAUGGAGCUCCAGAAAAUGGACUGCUCUGAAGAGCUCCACACUUGCUCAUGGUUCUCAUUAAAGAAGAUUCAUGUAAGGGCCAAUGGACACCUGAUCCCCUGCUGCCUUUGUUUGAAAUCCAAGAAGUUUCCUUGUGCUGAUUUAACUGCCUGCAGUCUUUUCUAUCAUAAAAAACAAAACAAAACAAAACAAUGCUGAUUCUGUCCAUUUUAACCCCUGUGUGAAACUGACUUUUAACAUACUUGUGCGU
RNAcentral lists this long non-coding RNA (812 nucleotides) under Felis catus (domestic cat). RNAcentral's name for it is "lncRNA (ENSFCAG00000050200.1)". The record is from RNAcentral. Lineage: Eukaryota; Metazoa; Chordata; Mammalia; Carnivora; Felidae.